Balaenoptera acutorostrata (minke whale) is the source of this 421-nucleotide long non-coding RNA. RefSeq lists it as uncharacterized. The transcript is spliced from 3 exons. NCBI's taxonomy places the organism in Eukaryota, Metazoa, Chordata, Mammalia, Artiodactyla, Balaenopteridae. The record is from RefSeq and is a predicted model, not a curated record.
AGGGCGUCUCCAGCAGUCCCGUUGGCAGUCGGUGCAGUAGUUCCGGACGUCCGGGCUUCGGCUCCGCGGGGAGCGAGGCUGCUCGAAUGCGAGCGAGCCAGCGGGGCUGUGCGUGCGCGCGUGAGAGAUACAGCCUGAAGGACCAAGCUGUUGAAUUCUAGAAAGAGAUAACUUAAAUUUGUUCUGACUACCUCCAAGCACUCCAUGGCUGCACGCUUGUCUCACUGGAAAAUGCACAGCCCCAAUUCUGUGCAGGGACGACGCAAAGCAGAGUGUGAUGCAUCUCUCUGGAGCAUCAAGUUUAUUAACUAGAAUUGAAAGAACCAAGGAGUUCUUGGAACAAGAACUAUCCCCCUCCCCCACCAACACGGAAGACAGAAGAGUAGGGGAGGGGAGACGUGCCCCAGGAAUGACAGUCCAG